GAGCCCGCUCAGAAACUUACAAGGAAGUUGACGGGGGCCCGGCACAAGCGGUGGAGCAUGUGGUUUAAUUCGAUGGUACGCGAGGAACCUUACCAGGGCUUGACAUACGUUGGAAGCGCAUCGAAAGGUGCGUGCCGCUUGCGGCCGGCGUACAGGUGCUGCAUGGCUGUCGUCAGCUCGUGCUGUGAAGUGUUGGGUUAAGUCCCGCAACGAGCGCAACCCCUGCUGCCUGUUGCCACCACGAGAGGUGGGGACUCAGGCGGGACCGCCGGUGACAAACCGGAGGAAGUGGGGACGACGUCAAGUCAUCAUGGCCCUUAUGUCCUGGGCUACACACGUGCUACAAUGGCCGGUACAGAGCGCAGCGAGGCCGCGAGGCGGAGCGAAUCGCUUAAAGCCGGUCCCAGUACGGAUUGGAGUCUGCAACCCGACUCCAUGAAGUUGGAAUCGCUAGUAAUCGCGCAUCAGCAUGGCGCGGUGAAUACGUUCCCGGGCCUU
Molecule: ribosomal RNA, 498 nt
Filed under: uncultured Spirochaeta sp.
Lineage: Bacteria; Pseudomonadati; Spirochaetota; Spirochaetia; Spirochaetales; Spirochaetaceae
Description: bacterial SSU rRNA
Rfam family: Bacterial small subunit ribosomal RNA
Source: RNAcentral